GUCAGUGUAGCGCAGUGGUUUGAGCACUGGCCUAUGACUCUGGAGACCAGGAUUCAAAUUCUGGCUCAGCCA
Molecule: non-coding RNA, 72 nt
Organism: Phrynosoma platyrhinos (Desert horned lizard)
Lineage: Eukaryota; Metazoa; Chordata; Lepidosauria; Squamata; Phrynosomatidae
Source: the annotation of a GenBank genome assembly